Molecule: transfer RNA, 85 nt
Filed under: Felis catus (domestic cat)
Lineage: Eukaryota; Metazoa; Chordata; Mammalia; Carnivora; Felidae
Also listed under: 1 other name
Rfam family: tRNA
About the family: Transfer RNA (tRNA) molecules are approximately 80 nucleotides in length. Their secondary structure includes four short double-helical elements and three loops (D, anti-codon, and T loops).
Source: Rfam by way of RNAcentral
GCCUGGGUGGCUCAGUCGGUUGAGCAUCCGACUUCAGCUCGGGUCAUGAUCUCGCGGUCCGUGAGUUCGAGCCCCGCGUCGGGCU